Molecule: ribosomal RNA, 189 nt
Filed under: Paenibacillus sp. OK060
Lineage: Bacteria; Bacillati; Bacillota; Bacilli; Caryophanales; Paenibacillaceae
Description: 16S rRNA. Bacterial SSU
Rfam family: Bacterial small subunit ribosomal RNA
Source: RNAcentral
CUUUAUUGGAGAGUUUGAUCCUGGCUCAGGACGAACGCUGGCGGCAUGCCUAAUACAUGCAAGUCGAGCGGACUUAAAGAGAAGCUUGCUUCUCUGAUGGUUAGCGGCGGACGGGUGAGUAACACGUAGGCAACCUGCCCUCAAGUUUGGGACAACUACCGGAAACGGUAGCUAAUACCGAAUAGUUGU